AGUGAACGCUGGCGGUAGGCCUAACACAUGCAAGUCGAACGGCAGCACAGUAAGAGCUUGCUCUUACGGGUGGCGAGUGGCGGACGGGUGAGGAAUACAUCGGAAUCUACUUUUUCGUGGGGGAUAACGUAGGGAAACUUACGCUAAUACCGCAUACGACCUACGGGUGAAAGCAGGGGAUCUUCGGACCUUGCGCGAUUGAAUGAGCCGAUGUCGGAUUAGCUAGUUGGCGGGGUAAAGGCCCACCAAGGCGACGAUCCGUAGCUGGUCUGAGAGGAUGAUCAGCCACACUGGAACAGAGACACGGUCCAGACUCCUACGGGAGGCAGCAGUGGGGAAUAUUGGACAGUGGCGCAAGCCUGAUCCAGCCAUACCGCGUGGGUGAAGAAGGCCUUCGGGUUGUAAAGCCCUUUUGUUGGGAAAGAAAAGCAGCAGGUUAAUACCCCGCUGUUCUGACGGUACCCAAAGAAUAAGCACCGGCUAACUUCGUG
RNAcentral lists this ribosomal RNA (491 nucleotides) under uncultured bacterium. RNAcentral describes it as "partial 16S ribosomal RNA". It matches the Rfam family "Bacterial small subunit ribosomal RNA", at positions 29 to 507 of the family's 1533-position model. The record is from RNAcentral.